RNAcentral lists this transfer-messenger RNA (247 nucleotides) under Verrucomicrobiota bacterium. RNAcentral describes it as "Verrucomicrobia bacterium partial transfer-messenger RNA". It matches the Rfam family "transfer-messenger RNA", at positions 112 to 374 of the family's 374-position model. Rfam says of the family: Bacterial tmRNA, also known as 10Sa RNA or SsrA, is named for its dual tRNA and mRNA-like properties. Its role is to liberate the mRNA from a stalled ribosome. Lineage: Bacteria; Pseudomonadati; Verrucomicrobiota. The record is from RNAcentral.
UCGCUCUCGCGGCUUAAUUGACCGCGACGUUUUCGCAGUGACGCCUGCUAACGGCGAAAACGUGGACAGCAGGCUGGCGAAUCGGCGGGGCGACCGCGCCGGUUCGUGAAUCGAUUUCGUGGACGCUCGGGAGCCGGCAGUGCGCCGGCGCAUGGCUUGGCUCCUCAGAAUUUAUCGCCGGAUAAACAUGUAGAUGUUUGCGCGGAUAGCGACGAGGACAGGGGUUCAACUCCCCUCGCCUCCAAUU